UACGUAGGGUGCGAGCGUUGUCCGGAAUUACUGGGCGUAAAGCGCACGUAGGCGGCUAUUCAAGUCGGGGGUGAAAGCCCGGGGCUCAACCCCGGAACUGCCCUCGAAACUAGGUAGCUAGAAUCUUGGAGAGGUCAGUGGAAUUCCGAGUGUAGAGGUGAAAUUCGUAGAUAUUCGGAAGAACACCAGUGGCGAAGGCGACUGACUGGACAAGUAUUGACGCUGAGGUGCGAAAGCGUGGGGAGCAAACAGG
RNAcentral lists this ribosomal RNA (253 nucleotides) under uncultured bacterium. RNAcentral's name for it is "partial 16S ribosomal RNA". It matches the Rfam family "Bacterial small subunit ribosomal RNA", at positions 524 to 776 of the family's 1533-position model. The record is from RNAcentral.